Molecule: ribosomal RNA, 1298 nt
Filed under: Shigella sonnei
Lineage: Bacteria; Pseudomonadati; Pseudomonadota; Gammaproteobacteria; Enterobacterales; Enterobacteriaceae
Description: bacterial LSU rRNA
Rfam family: Bacterial large subunit ribosomal RNA
Source: RNAcentral
CAAACCGACACAGGUGGUCAGGUAGAGAAUACCAAGGCGCUUGAGAGAACUCGGGUGAAGGAACUAGGCAAAAUGGUGCCGUAACUUCGGGAGAAGGCACGCUGAUAUGUAGGUGAAGUCCCUCGCGGAUGGAGCUGAAAUCAGUCGAAGAUACCAGCUGGCUGCAACUGUUUAUUAAAAACACAGCACUGUGCAAACACGAAAGUGGACGUAUACGGUGUGACGCCUGCCCGGUGCCGGAAGGUUAAUUGAUGGGGUCAGCGCAAGCGAAGCUCUUGAUCGAAGCCCCGGUAAACGGCGGCCGUAACUAUAACGGUCCUAAGGUAGCGAAAUUCCUUGUCGGGUAAGUUCCGACCUGCACGAAUGGCGUAAUGAUGGCCAGGCUGUCUCCACCCGAGACUCAGUGAAAUUGAACUCGCUGUGAAGAUGCAGUGUACCCGCGGCAAGACGGAAAGACCCCGUGAACCUUUACUAUAGCUUGACACUGAACAUUGAGCCUUGAUGUGUAGGAUAGGUGGGAGGCUUUGAAGUGUGGACGCCAGUCUGCAUGGAGUCGACCUUGAAAUACCACCCUUUAAUGUUUGAUGUUCUAACGUGGACCCGUGAUCCGGGUUGCGGACAGUGUCUGGUGGGUAGUUUGACUGGGGCGGUCUCCUCCUAAAGAGUAACGGAGGAGCACGAAGGUUGGCUAAUCCUGGUCGGACAUCAGGAGGUUAGUGCAAUGGCAUAAGCCAGCUUGACUGCGAGCGUGACGGCGCGAGCAGGUGCGAAAGCAGGUCAUAGUGAUCCGGUGGUUCUGAAUGGAAGGGCCAUCGCUCAACGGAUAAAAGGUACUCCGGGGAUAACAGGCUGAUACCGCCCAAGAGUUCAUAUCGACGGCGGUGUUUGGCACCUCGAUGUCGGCUCAUCACAUCCUGGGGCUGAAGUAGGUCCCAAGGGUAUGGCUGUUCGCCAUUUAAAGUGGUACGCGAGCUGGGUUUAGAACGUCGUGAGACAGUUCGGUCCCUAUCUGCCGUGGGCGAUGGAGAACUGAGGGGGGCUGCUCCUAGUACGAGAGGACCGGAGUGGACGCAUCACUGGUGUUCGGGUUGUCAUGCCAAUGGCACUGCCCGGUAGCUAAAUGCGGAAGAGAUAAGUGCUGAAAGCAUCUAAGCACGAAACUUGCCCCGAGAUGAGUUCUCCCUGACCCUUUAAGGGUCCUGAAGGAACGUUGAAGACGACGACGUUGAUAGGCCGGGUGUGUAAGCGCAGCGAUGCGUUGAGCUAACCGGUACUAAUGAACCGUGAGGCUUAACCUU